This 395-nucleotide ribosomal RNA is filed under the name uncultured bacterium. RNAcentral describes it as "partial 16S ribosomal RNA". It matches the Rfam family "Bacterial small subunit ribosomal RNA", at positions 338 to 730 of the family's 1533-position model. The record is from RNAcentral.
CCUACGGGUGGCAGCAGUGAGGAAUAUUGGUCAAUGGGCGGAAGUCUGAACCAGCCAAGCCGCGUGAAGGAAGAAGGCUCCAAGAGUCGUAAACUGCUUUUGUCGGGGGAUAAACGCAGACACGUGUGUCUGUGUGAAAGUAUCCUACGAAAAAGGAUCGGCUAACUCCGUGCCAGCAGCCGCGGUAAUACGGAGGAUUCAAGCGUUAUCCGGAUUUAUUGGGUGUAAAGGGUGCGUAGGCGGUCCGAAAAGUUAGAGGUGAAAUCCCGGGGCUCAACCUCGGAAGUGCCUUUGAUACUGUUCGGCUAGAGACUAGUUGCGGUAGGCGGAAUGCGUGGUGUAGCGGUGAAAUGCUUAGAUAUCGUGCAGAACUCCGAUUGCGAAGGCAGCUUACC